Molecule: ribosomal RNA, 492 nt
Filed under: uncultured bacterium
Lineage: Bacteria
Description: partial 16S ribosomal RNA
Rfam family: Bacterial small subunit ribosomal RNA
Source: RNAcentral
AGUGAAAGAGGGCGGGAGUACGAACACAUGCAAGUCGAACGGCAGCACAGUAAGAGCUUGCUCUUACGGGUGGCGAGUGGCGGACGGGUGAGGAAUACAUCGGAAUCUACUUUUUCGUGGGGGAUAACGUAGGGAAACUUACGCUAAUACCGCAUACGACCUACGGGUGAAAGCAGGGGAUCUUCGGACCUUGCGCGAUUGAAUGAGCCGAUGUCGGAUUAGCUAGUUGGCGGGGUAAAGGCCCACCAAGGCGACGAUCCGUAGCUGGUCUGAGAGGAUGAUCAGCCACACUGGAACUGAGACACGGUCCAGACUCCUACGGGAGGCAGCAGUGGGGAAUAUUGGACAAUGGGCGCAAGCCUGAUCCAGCCAUACCGCGUGGGUGAAGAAGGCCUUCGGGUUGUAAAGCCCUUUUGUUGGGAAAGAAAAGCAGCAGGUUAAUACCCCGCUGUUCUGACGGUACCCAAAGAAUAAGCACCGGCUAACUUCGUG